Nothobranchius furzeri (turquoise killifish) is the source of this 762-nucleotide non-coding RNA. The record is from RefSeq and is a predicted model, not a curated record. NCBI's taxonomy places the organism in Eukaryota, Metazoa, Chordata, Actinopteri, Cyprinodontiformes, Nothobranchiidae.
GUAAAAAGCUUGUGGGUUUUCAGAACAACCUUGUUUGCCAAAGCUAACUUUAGACUAGCUUCUUUAGCAUCAAAAGUAUAUUAUCUUCGAAUUGUAGCUUCUAGCCAGUCGUAAUCAUUUGCAAUCGCAUCUUGUUGGCAAUCAGUGAACGAACCCACUGCAUCGGAGGUUAACCUUAUCAGAAAGAUCUUCUUGUCACGGUUUGCCUCCACCUAGUGGUGGAUUUUUCUGUUUUGUUUUGUGUUGCAGGUAGGCGCGGCAGACGGCACACCUGUUGGGUGUUUGACUAAUUGAGGGAGAGAGGAUUUAAGGAGCGGUGCGACUCAACUCCAGUGCCGGUUGAUACUCUCACAUGGUAUCCUGUUCGUGCAUCACCUACCUUGCCUGGAGUUGUUCCCACGUCUCGCCGCUCAAAGAUCCUCUGGACUCCUCUCUCCACAUCUGCCCGCCUGCCUCACGCUCUGAACUCCUCAUCCGGUCCAACCUUCCUCAGUUCACCUCCGCUCUGGUUCCGAUUCCUGACCAUUCCGGUCUCCUCCUGAUCCUGAUCUGAAGCAGCGCCUUUAGUUUAGUUUUGCCUAUUCUGUUAUUAUUUUCUCAUUGUAAAUAAACCACCAUAUUUUUACUCACCGUCCCUCUGAUGUGAUUCUUCAUGUCCUGGGUGAAAGCUCUUACCCACAGCAUGACAGAAUCAACCGGCCAGAUAAACACCCCCAUUGAAGAAUCACUUCCCGCAGCCUUAGCAAACACAUUAACUCAGCA